Molecule: long non-coding RNA, 1123 nt
Organism: Mauremys reevesii (Reeves's turtle)
Lineage: Eukaryota; Metazoa; Chordata; Testudines; Geoemydidae
Exons: 3
Source: RefSeq, a predicted model, not a curated record
CUUAUAGACUAACAGACGUAUUGCUGCUCUUACAGAUCCAGAUUAACAUGGCUACCACUCUGAUGUGUGAAAAGAGGAUCAGGUUCGUCUCCCAGGGCUGGAUUCCGAUACCAAAAAUUCCCAUGGAAAGAGAACAGCAUUGGCAAAGAUGUGGAGUUUUGACACUUAGCGCCGGACGUGCUCAACUGGAAAUAUGUUUGAGUUUGAUUAAAUGGCAGAAUAUAAACUCAGUGGAAGCAGCAAGAGCCAAGGUUUGUGCCACACCCGUAGAAGGGAAACUCCACCUGCUCCUAUGCACGGUCUGCAGGGCCUCACCAAACUAACAGGGAAUUGGUCAUUAUGUUCCUUCCUCUCCGGCACCAUUAUUCCCUGCUGCACUGGAGACAUAGCAGAGUUUGGAGGCUCUCAACUGUUCUUCUUGCCAAGCGGAUCAAACUAAAAGUUAGAGAACGAAAUGUUGUGCUUUGUAGCAAAAUGGCAUUUCUUGGAGUGUCCAGGAGAGAGCAUGCACAGCUCAGAGACUGGAGUGACUGCAAACGCUGCGGGAAGGAAGAUACCCUACCACAGCGAAGAAGAAAGCUUGUCAUGGAAAUGAUUCAUUUCCUUGGGUUGCUCCUCAGCUAAGUCAGCUGUGAUGGAAGGGACUGGCGGUUGCUAUUAUUCCAGUGAGUCAGGCUCGUUCAGUUCAGGAAAGGCAAGCUCAUUUGAAAAGCCUAACUCUAUGAAUUUAUUUUCCAACCAAAGCCAACUAAACCCUGUGCUCCAAUCUUUAGCGUAGCACAAAAAGGAAGAAGGCAGCUAAUCUAAUCACAGAAUGUGCCCCACCCCGACAAAAAGAAAAUGAAAUUAGGGAAAGUGCUCUGCAUAACACGGUGGUGAUUUAUAGCACACUGUACUCUCUGUGUUAGUGGGGUGUGGGAUGCCUCUCCUACCCCAGGAGAAUAUUUUAAGAGUUAAUGGAAAAAGAAAGGAGUCCUGCACAGAGAGAAGAUGACCUCUGCAAACUCAAGAGCAGGGCAUGGGCUAUAGGAAGCAUGGCUCAUUCUUGCCAGUGGUGCUUACAGAACAGCACUUCCUGCCAUGUAAAGAAAUUCCUCCUCUGUGCCUCAUGGCCAAGGUGAUA